This 500-nucleotide ribosomal RNA is filed under the name uncultured bacterium. RNAcentral describes it as "bacterial SSU rRNA". It matches the Rfam family "Bacterial small subunit ribosomal RNA", at positions 896 to 1398 of the family's 1533-position model. The record is from RNAcentral.
GAAACUCAAAGGAAUUGACGGGGGCCCGCACAAGCGGAGGAACAUGUGGUUUAAUUCGAUGAUACGCGAGGAACCUUACCCGGGCUUAAAUUGCACCUGAAUAAUGUGGAAACAUGUUAGCCGUAAGGCAGGUGUGAAGGUGCUGCAUGGUUGUCGUCAGCUCGUGCCGUGAGGUGUCGGCUUAAGUGCCAUAACGAGCGCAACCCUUAUCUUCAGUUACUAACAGGUCAUGCUGAGGACUCUGGAGAGACUGCCGUCGUAAGAUGUGAGGAAGGUGGGGAUGACGUCAAAUCAGCACGGCCCUUACGUCCGGGGCUACACACGUGUUACAAUGGGAGGUACAGAAGGCCGCUACCUGGCGACAGGAUGCCAAUCCCCAAAACCUCUCUCAGUUCGGAUCGAAGUCUGCAACCCGACUUCGUGAAGCUGGAUUCGCUAGUAAUCGCGCAUCAGCCAUGGCGCGGUGAAUACGUUCCCGGGCCUUGUACACACCGCCCGUC